This is a long non-coding RNA of Bombus terrestris (buff-tailed bumblebee), 698 nucleotides long. RefSeq lists it as uncharacterized. The record is from RefSeq and is a predicted model, not a curated record. NCBI's taxonomy places the organism in Eukaryota, Metazoa, Arthropoda, Insecta, Hymenoptera, Apidae. The transcript is spliced from 2 exons.
GUCUCCCGUUCCUCUAUGCUUCUUUAUCUCGCGUAAGGAAUGCUCCCUGUCUCUUCUGGGGCUUGAAAAGGACUCUGGCCUCCACCUUGAAACCGUUUCUCACGAUGGUUAUGCGCGAUCCACCCAACAGGAAUUUUGUUUUGCCAGGUUUGCGAAACCGAAGCACAGCGAUUCCUCCAACACGACGUAUCCAACGUGAAGAUUCCUCAGAGUGAAGUACACGGAUGUGACAUCUUUUCUGCUGAAGAUCUCGUAAACUUUCAUCGUCCGAUCUCUAGAACAUAAAACCGGUGAUAAUAAAUACCAAGACAGAUGUAACGAUCCAGGGAAUGGCAAGCUUAUGCACCUCAUCUCUUUGCUCUCGUAGUAAGGAUUAUUGACUAUAGGUCUUCCCGUCGAGAGCAUUAAGUUUGCCAUCAAAGACAUCUUGCCGGCGAACACUGCGUGUUCAGGCGUGUUCUUCUUGAUCCACUCGAACAGUUCCUCUUGCUCGAUAUCGCUGUACUCGCCUUAUUACAUAUAUCAUAUUUUUAUACGAUGAAAGAUUAGGUAAUAAAGAGCUUGUUUAUUAACUUUCGGAGGCUGGGCCAAUUUUGACUCACGCGAAUAAUUCACAUUUAUUACUUUUCAUAAAAAUUAUACUUAUAUAUCGUUAUUAUUCUGUUAAAUUAUAUGAAAAUAUACGUUUACAUUAUUUA